UUUAAAAGGUUUUUGAAGUUUCAUAUUCUGUAACAAGGAAUCACCACAGCUUGCUUCAUCCUAAAAAUGCAAAUCAAGAGAAAUAAGAGUGGUGAAACACUAACACAGCAAACAGUUAAAUGGCUAAAUUCUGUGCAAAACUUGUGAGGCUUGCUGCCAUGGGAUGUUACAGAGGGAAGUUUCUUUUUAAGGAAGACCUGCUUUCCAUCUUUUUUCAGGACAGCAGAGCGUGGUGAGGGUGACUGCACCCCAGGCUCUCAGCCAGGGUCCAGGUCUCUUUCUUUCCACAUUGUGGUUUCCCAUGUGCAGGCAGUGAUAAUUCAGCAUCAUGAAAAAACAUAAAUUGUCAGAUAGGCAAUACUGAGAUGAAAGGAACAUUAUCUUUUACGGCUGGCCAAGACUCUGAACUUUUAUGGCUUUCUACAAGAAGUAACCAGAGAUGACAGAACUAUUCUUGCACUUUUCUAAUUUCUAUUCCAAUUUACUAUAAGCUUGGUGUGAUAAGACCAAAAAUGUGUUUUAGCUGUGGGCAGGUUUUAAGACCACAUUGUUCUAAACCCCUGAAAAAUCAGGAUUCUUGAUAGAAACUGUGAUAAACCCCAAAGUCUGACUGUAUUAGUAGGAGAAGCUAUCAUAUAGAAAGUUUAAUAAAGAUUUCAAAUAUUCCUUCUGUGUCCUAAAGCCAUUAUUCACUGCUAAAGGACUGUAAAUCUUGAAAAGCCUUGGAAGGCUUUAAUUUGAAAUAUAUAUAUAUAUAUAUAUAUAAAUAUAUAUAUAUAAAUUAUUUAGUUCUAAACCAAUCAAGAAAUUUAAUACCAAAAAAUAAAUUCUGUCUUUAGCCUGUCCCUAGCUUUAAAAUAUGAAACACACUUAAAUAAGAAAGGUGGAUAUUUAAAUACAUCUGCCAUACUCCAACAGUACAUCAAAGUCCUCCAUGUGAAGCUAACUAGAGGGGCUGUCCAUUAGAGAAGAUAUGGUCCAGCAACUCAAUAAAUAGAUGCAGGAGGAGUAAGGUCUGUUCCUAGUCUCACAGAUAACUCAUGUACUGUGCUAGCAAAUUAAUUUUCCUCUUUUAAAGUCAAUUUUGUCCUUUCACUCUGCUGUGUACUCCUUUGGGCGAGGCAAUGUCUCUGGGCUGAGGUGUGCAGGGAGAGAUUUCCCAGUUCCCUGAAGCUGCUGGAGCAGAAAUGGGAUGUCUCUGCACUCAUCUGCAUCAGCCACUUUGAGGCUGCUCUGGCUUUGUGCAUUUCCUUCUCCUGCUCUUCUUGAGAGCAAUGCAGGAAGCUGGUGAUGGCUUGGGUUUGAGGUAUAUUCACAUCUGGCUUGGAGAAAUUCCUAACAGAAAGAAAAAUAAUUAAAAAAUCCUGGUGAUUGUGAUUUCCAGGUUCAUACUUAGUUUAAGGGAUCUGAAGUCUAAGGAUUGCCCCUGCUUGGGAAGAAGCCCCACAGCAGAGGACUCACGAGUUUGUGAGUCCUGUGGUCUUUGCCAAGCACAAGAGAAGGGAGGAUUUCAACCUGGGGGAAACUGUGCUGAUGGAUUGCAAGCACGUCACCAGGAACACGUGUAAAAAUAGCCCAGGCACAAAGAAAAUCAGGCGAUGUUGGCAGUCACUGCUGGGGAGAAGAACUGUCCAAGUCCUCAGACUGUUUUCCUCCUCAGCACAGAGGCUGUGGUGACAGCCUCGCCUGGUGCUCCUCACACUGGAACGCACAAGCAGCAUGUGGGAAGGGAAAAUGACCUCCAGCAAGGAUGAGACCCUCUGGCUCCAAGGAGACAGCACUGAUUCCCCACCCCAAGAGGAUUUGGCCCAUCCUACCCAGCACGGAGGGGGAAACCAAAACACACAUCCCUUGGAUGGCUGGAGCUCAAGCCACCAUUUGCCUGUCUGGAGCAGGAUAAUUUGUCAGACACCAGCUGCUGCACGCUCUGUCCUCUUGGGCACACUUGUUAUUGUGUUACAGCCUGCCUGAAGAAUGUGGGAUGUCGUGGAAAGGAAAACGACUGCAACCUUGCUUGCUCAAAUAAUCUGAGGGCUUUUUUUAUAUUUUUUUUCUUCUUUCUCCCCACUGUGAGAGCCUCUGCCAUGCACGGUGUGUUCGUAAAGUGCCAGCCAGGGCUAGGAAGGGAAAAGGGGGGUGGGGGAAAGAAAAAGCAGAGGGAGAAGAAGGAGAAGAAGAGGGAAAAGCCAGGCUGGCAAUGCUGGGGAAGUGCUUUUGUGACCACACAAAGAGAUUUAAGACCGGAUGGAAGUGGUCCCCCCCGCUCACUCGCUCCCUUGCCGCGUCUCCUCUGUCUCUGAAAGAGUUACUCAGGAGGAUUUCAAGGUGUUGGUUUUGUCCUUUACAAAAUUAGUUCAAGGAGAUUUAUUGCUGGCAACAGGCACCGAGGACUGGCCUGGUGCUUUUCUGCAGAAGAUGAGACAGGGUGUUCCCAACCUCCGAGUGCCGCAGUUUGGCCAUCAGGAGAUGAGGUGGAGUUUGCUUUCUGGCUACUGCAGAGUGACCUUGGGAUACAUCCCUUCACCUCUCCCUGCCUGUCCCUCCUUGUCUCAGGACAGAGCUCUUGUAGGGAAGUCCUCCAGAGCUGGAGCUGGCUGUCACAGUGCGCAGCACAGCUCCUAGCACAGCAAAACGCAUUAUUUCAACAGGAUGGAGCAGCUGUUUGUAUAAGGAAUUAAUUAUACCCAUUGCUACCAGAUACGAGUCCUCCACACAUCAGUGAGGCAAAGAAACGUGGUCUUAAAGGAAAAGCAUCUGGGAGAGGACACAGGUAUGUGCCAGCUGCAAAGCCAGACAGGAGUGGGGCUCUGUUUCCUUCCACUCUGCCUUCCCGAUGUGUUUCAGCCAAAACUUGGGAAAAUAACCCCAGGGAGCAGGCUAUUUUGAGGCUUCUGGGCCGUGACUUUUCUGCUGUGAUUACCCUGGAGGCAUCUAAUUAGUAGCAGUAGGGCUGCCUUUUCUUUCUGAUCUCUGCAAGGAACCGUACUGAGAAGCUACCAACUCAUCUCACGCUGUACCCACAAGACCUGUACAAGCUCCCCAGACAGUUAGCUUUAUUUCUCCCGUGUCAACAAAAGUAGGAGAGAUCUGGGGGGUGGAGUAGAUGGACAGGAGGAGAGAGAAAGUGAUUCACAGGGAAAUAAUGUAUUCCUGCCAUACAUUCAGA
This is a long non-coding RNA of Passer domesticus (house sparrow), 3166 nucleotides long. RefSeq lists it as uncharacterized. Lineage: Eukaryota; Metazoa; Chordata; Aves; Passeriformes; Passeridae. The record is from RefSeq and is a predicted model, not a curated record. The transcript is spliced from 2 exons.